UUUAUCCGGGGUCUCCACCAGUCAGCGAGGAUUCGCCCACUGGUGUCGUCUCC
This is a small RNA of 53 nucleotides. It matches the Rfam family "ffh sRNA".